Long non-coding RNA from Helianthus annuus (common sunflower), 580 nucleotides. RefSeq lists it as uncharacterized. The transcript is spliced from 4 exons. The record is from RefSeq and is a predicted model, not a curated record. Lineage: Eukaryota; Viridiplantae; Streptophyta; Magnoliopsida; Asterales; Asteraceae.
UGCUGCUUUCCAAACACCAAUUCAUAUUCCCACUUGAUCCCAAAAUUCCUAAUCGGUCUGUUCUUCAAAACCAAGUCAUAUUCACUCAUAAGGUUUCUACCCAAAAUCCCAAUCGUUCGACCGUGCUUAGCCGCAAGCGACCACCAAUCGGCUGUUUGCAGUCGUUACUGAGUUGCUUUUACUAUAACAAUCAACCAUGUUCCAAUCGACCUCUUUAACUGCAAAUGUAUAUCUGACUUCCUCAUGAUCUUAUUGGAAAUACUUAAUGCAAUCGUGACCUACGCAUUCCCAUGGAACCUGAGCUAUGGAUGAAGAUGCAUAUCCAAUUUGCAUGAAUAUAUCAGCACUUGUUUCCUUGUCAUCAAGGUUGGGCAUCAAGGGUGAAAGAAACUCAUGUAGAGGGCUGCACAAAGGAAAAGAUCAAGGUUACAAUCUGGUUUUCAACUUAAAACAAGCAAUAUUUGGUGUUAGAUAAGAUAUCAAAGUAACUCGUCUUGAGAGUUGUGGACCUUGCAACAAGUCUUGUGUCCAACCUGGGACUAGCGUGCCCAAAUGCACAUGUGAUAAAAUUCAAGUUUUC